GCAAUUCAGGGAGGCAGCAGGCGCGCAAUUACCCAAUCCUGACUCAGGGAGGUAGUGACAAGAAAUAACAAUAAACCGGCUUAUGCCGGUUUAAUUGGAAUGAGUACAAUUUAAACAUCUUAACGAGGAACAAUUGGAGGGCAAGUCUGGUGCCAGCAGCCGCGGUGAUUCCAGCUCCAAUAGCGUAUACUAAAGUUGUUGCAGUUAAAAAGCUCGUAGUUGGAUUUCUGUGGGGACGGAGCGGCCGGCCGCACAUCGCGGUUCGAGCUAGCGCUUUCCCUACAUCCUGCCGCGAACCGUGCUACCAUUAGUUUGGUGGCGCCGGGGAUCGGCUCGAUUACUUUGAGAAAAAUAGAGUGUUCAAAGCAGGCCACAUGCCCUGAAUAAGUUAGCAUGGAAUAAUAACUAAGGACUUCGGUUCUAUUUUGUUGGUGUUCGGGACUGAAGUAAUGAUUGAUAGGGACAGUUGGGGCGGUCUGUAUUCCAAAGCGAGAGGUGAAAUUCUUAGACCUUCGGAAGACAAACAGCUGCGAAAGCGUUCCGCAAGGAUGUUCCCUUUGAUCAAGAACGAAAGUUGGGGGAUCGAAGACGAUCAGAUACCGUCGUAGUCUCAACUAUAAACUAUACCAGCUAGGGAUCGGCCAACGUUAUUUUAUACCGACUUGGUCGGCACCUUAUGAGAAAUCAAAGCAUCUGGGUUCCGGGGGGAGUAUGGUCGCAAGGCUGAAACUUAAAGGAAUUGACGGAAGGGCACCACCAGCCGUGGAGCCUGUGGCUUAAUUUGACUCAACACGGGAAAACUUACCAGGUCCAGACAUAGUAAGGAUUGACAGAUUGAUAGCUCUUUCUUGAUUCUGUGGGUGGUGGUGCAUGGCCGUUCUUAGUUGGUGGAGUGAUUUGUCUGGUUAAUUCCGUUAACGAACGAGACCCCAGCCUGCUAAAUAGCGCGCGUGAGCUUUGCUCGCGGCGAGCUUCUUAGAGGGACUAUGAUGCGCGAUAGCACAUGGAAGUUUGGGGCAAUAACAGGUCUGUGAUGCCCUUAGAUGUUCUGGGCCGCACACGGGCUACACUGGCGCCUGCAACGAGCAUAUCAGCUGGCCCGAGAGGGUCUUGGCUAAUCUUUUGAACCGGCGCCGUGCUUGGGAUUGACCUUUGCAAUUGUUGGUCAUGCAACGAGGAAUGCCUUGUAAACGCGAGUCAUCAGCUCGCAUUGAAUACGUCCCUGCCCUUUGUACACACCGCCCGUCGCUCCUACCGAUGAAUGUUCCGAUGAAAUUUUCGGAGAGCACCUGUGAACUUGGCUCCGCCUUGCGAACGGGAGGCUCAAAGUCACUUAAAUCUAAACUUUAA
RNAcentral lists this ribosomal RNA (1350 nucleotides) under uncultured marine eukaryote. RNAcentral describes it as "SSU rRNA". It matches the Rfam family "Eukaryotic small subunit ribosomal RNA", at positions 410 to 1775 of the family's 1831-position model. The record is from RNAcentral.